UUUGCCCAGAGUUGGGAUUGCUCCUGUGCCUGCUUGUUCCUGCCCUGGACCAGAUUUACUUCACUCCAGGCCUGUGGACUGCAUCAUCACAACCCCUGAGGGCAGGCUACUUAAUGGCUGUGUAGGCAUGCACAGUGUUUGCUGGGGAACAUAUACUGAUGAGCAGAUCUGCAAGCAAUCUAACUGAAGAUAGAGAUACCGAGGAGUGAGGACUCCAACUUUAUCACUGCUGAUAUAGAUUCUUUUUUUUUUUUUUUUCUCCAAUUCAGAAAGCAAAUCUUUCAGGAAUGAAGGCUUUGUGUGUGUGUCUGUUUUGCAUAUCUCAUUACUGGAAUUAUUUCUCAGUUUAGGCAAACGAUUUCUGCCUUUAACUAGAUGAUUAAAUACUCCGAAAGAGAGAAAAUCCAGCCAAGUACUAUCAGUACUUAGUAGAUUUACCAUUUUAAAGUGUCUCUGCAAAACAGGAGGUGGGGUGGGGUAGAGAGAGAAAGCAAGCAUUCAUUGCUAAUCAUUUCCUUUGAAGUCUGGUAGAGACCUGGUGAUUUGGUAUUGUGUGCAAAGUCAUAGUAUUAGACUAAGAUUAUUUUAAGAAACACUUUUUUUUAUCAUUUUCUAACUGACAGAAAGGGCAAGCUUGCCAGCCAUGCAGUUUGAUGUUUCUUCAUGGAAACAACAAAAGAACCCCACAAUGAUGUGAUUAAUGACUUGCAUCUACUUUCUCUGAUCCCCAAACUUGAAUAGAGAGAACACAUAAGACCUUCACACUAUUAUCCACCAUCCUAUUCAGAUGAGAUUAGUAUUGGCACAACUUCUUUUUAGAAGCAUGUUCCUUGAGCCAAGGAAUUUGAAUAUCCUAGUAGGUACAGUUAUGUAAUGAGUGUUGAUUUUGAUGAAGCUAUGAGCUGGCAGGGAUAACUUUGUAACAAAUACAGCAGUUUUACAGUAAUUAUGGACUAUAUGGUAGCCAUUUUACUUGCUGCAAAACUGCUUAAUGUUUUAAAUGUGUAAUUAUUAAGGGAAAAGUUCCCAAUUUGCUUUUCUGCUAUCCACCUUUUGAAUAGGUUUGGACCAGAUGCUAUAAUUUAGUCAUUAAACAGCUUCUUACAAAAGAAGACUUACAGAAACAAACAUUAUUUUCUGUCACUACUAUCCUGUUUUGAGGCUGCUGUAGGUCACCUUCAUACACUCUUAAACUUCAUGGUAAACUUCAUAAAUCAAAAGAUUAAGUGACUUUUUCUUCUAGUUUAGUUUAACCCUUUAGAUAGCACAUGGGGCAGGUGUUGGCUUUGGAAGGUACUUUUAGAUUGAAUCAGAUGGCAACAACGGGCAUGAAUAAUGAAGAAUAAUAAAGUGCUACAGUCUGGUGUAGAUCAUAGAAUCAGUAUAUUUUGGAGAUAAGAUUGAGUCUGUUGUAUGGUUUUUGGGUUUUUUUUAAGUGUAUCCCAUGCACAGUGACUAUUCUGUUCAAGUAACGUAUUUAUACAAAGAAUGAUUACAGAAAAUAUGAACUGAGCUGCACUCCUUUAAACAUUAAAAUCUUAUGGGGAAGUUUAUACUCAUAUUUGUCACUAUAGUAUUGAGUAGAUUAGUUCUUUAAAAAUAAUCCAGAUUGAUGAAGGUACAAUAAAAGACGUGUUUACAUUUUCAGCCUCUUGAGAAGACAGCUACUUUUCAAAGGUGCUUCUCUAUGAUCAAUGUUGUAGAUGGGGUGGGAGGUUGGAGGGGAAUAACAGUAUGACAGGGUACAAGUUUUCAUGGGAACAUCCUUAAAUAAGAAUUAAAAAACAAAGUAGCUGUAAUCAUCUCCAGUCUACUGAUAGUUAAUCUUCUAUUGCAACGCAGCUGUGCUGGCAGGACUAGAAAUUCAUUUGGAAAGCUAUAACACUUUUAAUUCUGCACUAUAUGUUGAGCUAUUAAUUUUUAAUUCUAGGGAAAACUCAUGGAUUUGAUCAGAACCUACAUCUGCAUCUUGCCUAUAGGAAGUACU
Molecule: long non-coding RNA, 1987 nt
Organism: Dermochelys coriacea (leatherback sea turtle)
Lineage: Eukaryota; Metazoa; Chordata; Testudines; Dermochelyidae
Exons: 3
Source: RefSeq, a predicted model, not a curated record